UGGAGAAAAGCAGGGGAUCGUAAGACCUUGCGCUUUUGGAGCGGCCGAUGUCUGAUUAGCUAGUUGGUGGGGUAAUGGCCUACCAAAGCUUCGAUCAGUAGCUGGUCUGAGAGGACGGCCAGCCACACUGGGACUGAGACACGGCCCAGACUCCUACGGGAGGCAGCAGUGGGGAAUUUUGGACAAUGGGCGCAAGCCUGAUCCAGCCAUGCCGCGUGAGUGAAGAAGGCCUUCGGGUUGUAAAGCUCUUUCAGCCGGGAAGAAAAGGCUGCGAUUAAUAAUCGCAGUUCAUGACGGUACCGGAAGAAGAAGCACCGGCUAACUACGUGCCAGCAGCCGCGGUAAUACGUAGGGUGCAAGCGUUAAUCGGAAUUACUGGGCGUAAAGGGUGCGCAGGCGGCUUUGUAAGUCAGAUGUGA
Molecule: ribosomal RNA, 419 nt
Filed under: uncultured ammonia-oxidizing beta proteobacterium
Lineage: Bacteria; Pseudomonadati; Pseudomonadota; Betaproteobacteria
Description: bacterial SSU rRNA
Rfam family: Bacterial small subunit ribosomal RNA
Source: RNAcentral